UACGUAGGGGGCUAGCGUUGUCCGGAAUCAUUGGGCGUAAAGCGCGUGUAGGCGGCCCGGUAAGUCCGCUGUGAAAGUCGGGGGCUCAACCCUCGGAUGCCGGUGGAUACUGUCGGGCUAGAGUGCGGAAGAGGCGAGUGGAAUUCCUGGUGUAGCGGUGAAAUGCGCAGAUAUCAGGAGGAACACCGGUGGCGAAGGCGGGUCUCUGGGCCGUAACUGACGCUGAGGAGCGAAAGCGUGGGGAGCGAACAGG
This 253-nucleotide ribosomal RNA is filed under the name uncultured bacterium. Its description in RNAcentral is "partial 16S ribosomal RNA". It matches the Rfam family "Bacterial small subunit ribosomal RNA", at positions 524 to 776 of the family's 1533-position model. The record is from RNAcentral.